Molecule: unclassified non-coding RNA, 395 nt
Filed under: fungal sp.
Lineage: Eukaryota; Fungi
Description: partial internal transcribed spacer region
Rfam family: Eukaryotic small subunit ribosomal RNA (bases 1-46)
Source: RNAcentral
AAGUCGUAACAAGGUUUCCGUAGGUGAACCUGCGGAAGGAUCAUUAACACGUAUCCAAACGUUAAAAACCCUGUGAACUUUCAUGCAGCUCGUAACCCGCAAGGAACAGCAAUCCCGGUAAAUCAUUGUUGAACAGUUUUGAUUCGGGACCUCUGUACAGUUACGGUCGUAGCUUAGAGUCAGUGGCAUGGCUUCCCCAAGCAGUUAGUGAAAUGACAUUGUCACUAUCUGUGUAAGGAUAACGCCUCACGGUUGCUAGAGGUCGAUCACCGGCCGGCAAAAACAUGUCACAGGGCUAUAUGCCCCCUAACCACCCCUUGCACGAAUGUCUCGCCUAGUGGUCACGCGCUUGGCACCAAAACGAACAACUGUUAACAAUGGAUAUCUUGGUUCUC